GGCCGUACCAUGCUGAAUAUACCGGUUUUCGUUAGAUCACCGAAGUUAAGCAUCAUUGGGCGCGGUCAGUACUUGGGUGGGUGACCACCUGGGAACACUGCGUGCCGUU
This 109-nucleotide ribosomal RNA is filed under the name Caerostris darwini. Lineage: Eukaryota; Metazoa; Arthropoda; Arachnida; Araneae; Araneidae. The record is from RNAcentral.